GUGAUUACACGCCACAAAGCAGUGACCUCACAAUUACAAAAGCUUUCAUCCAUGGAACAUGGAAAUAAGCUGCUGGGGGAAGACAAAACUUUGUGGAGAUCGAAUGGCUGUGGGCCUGAACUGGUAUGAGGACUGUUCCGUGGGGUGAAUGCUUUCAACGACAUCCAAAGCCUUGGAAAAAGAAAAGGAUCUCAUCACAGAUGAGCGGGGCAGGAUGAGCCCUACUCUGCAGAAACAAACAGCCUAAACCCCAAAUGAGAUGCAUCACCAGCCUAACCGGAAGGAGCUACAGGGAUCCGUGUAGAAGUGAAUCCUGAGACAGGCCAGGAAUGCAAGAGCAGCUACACGGUAAGGGAAGAGACGUCACUGGCAAGACCGCACUCACACGUGACUGGGAUUUGAGCUUCUGAAGGACAUCUAGAGCUGGUCCAGUGAGUCUGCAGUGAUGACAUUUAGAAUAGUGGACCCAGGAAUGGCCUUCUGCGCAUAAGAGGGACCUGCCAGACGUCACUGUAGAACCGAGAGACGGUUCGAGGGCAAGGGACUUUGGGGUGCUAACAUGAAUGGUUCCCGGAAAACAGGAGACAACGCCACCUGAUGCUGUUCCCUGGCAGGAUUCAAAGACCUCCCACAUCACUGAAGCAGGAAGGAUUGCACAGGUUUAAGAUGAUGACUAAAAAGGACUUUUCUCCAGAGCAAAAAAGGAGAAGAAGAAGAAAGAGAAGUAGAAACAAUGUCCAUAUUUGGAUUUUUUAGAAUAUUUGUUUAAAUUACAUAAAAUUUAUUUUGGUGCAAAUUAUGAGGA
This 805-nucleotide long non-coding RNA is filed under the name Vulpes vulpes (red fox). RNAcentral describes it as "lncRNA (ENSVVUG00000018913.1)". The record is from RNAcentral. Lineage: Eukaryota; Metazoa; Chordata; Mammalia; Carnivora; Canidae.